This 253-nucleotide ribosomal RNA is filed under the name uncultured bacterium. Its description in RNAcentral is "partial 16S ribosomal RNA". It matches the Rfam family "Bacterial small subunit ribosomal RNA", at positions 524 to 776 of the family's 1533-position model. The record is from RNAcentral.
UACGUAGGGGGCGAGCGUUGUCCGGAUUUACUGGGCGUAAAGCGCGUGUAGGCGGCCCGGUAAGUCCGCUGUGAAAGUCCAGGGCUCAACCCUGGAAUGCCGGUGGAAACUGUCGGGCUAGAGUCCGGAAGAGGCGAGUGGAAUUCCUGGUGUAGCGGUGAAAUGCGCAGAUAUCAGGAGGAACACCAAUGGCGAAGGCAGCUCGCUGGGACGGUACUGACGCUGAGACGCGAAAGCGUGGGGAGCAAACAGG